This 530-nucleotide ribosomal RNA is filed under the name uncultured bacterium. Its description in RNAcentral is "bacterial SSU rRNA". It matches the Rfam family "Bacterial small subunit ribosomal RNA", at positions 355 to 896 of the family's 1533-position model. The record is from RNAcentral.
UGGGGAAUAUUGCACAAUGGGCGGAAGCCUGAUGCAGCGACGCCGCGUGGGGGAUGAAGGCCUUCGGGUUGUAAACUCCUUUCGACAGGGACGAAGCUUUUGUGACGGUACCUGUAUAAGAAGCACCGGCUAACUACGUGCCAGCAGCCGCGGUAAUACGUAGGGUGCGAGCGUUGUCCGGAAUUACUGGGCGUAAAGAGCUCGUAGGUGGUUUGUCGCGUCGUCUGUGAAAUUCCGGGGCUUAACUCCGGGCGUGCAGGCGAUACGGGCUGACUUGAGUGCUGUAGGGGAGACUGGAAUUCCUGGUGUAGCGGUGAAAUGCGCAGAUAUCAGGAGGAACACCGAUGGCGAAGGCAGGUCUCUGGGCAGUAACUGACGCUGAGGAGCGAAAGCAUGGGUAGCGAACAGGAUCAGAUACCCUGGUAGUCCAUGCCGUAAACGGUGGGCGCUAGGUGUAGGGGGCUUCCACGUCUUCUGUGCCGUAGCUAACGCAUUAAGCGCCCCGCCUGGGGAGUACGGCCGCAAGGCUA